RNAcentral lists this long non-coding RNA (1118 nucleotides) under Brassica rapa (field mustard). Its description in RNAcentral is "long non-coding RNA (BRAP_LNC001174)". The record is from RNAcentral. Lineage: Eukaryota; Viridiplantae; Streptophyta; Magnoliopsida; Brassicales; Brassicaceae.
AGAACAGUAAAAAGACCGUCUUCUCUCUCAAGUCCCCUAGGGUUUUCAAAGUUCUGGCCGCCGCUCCUCGCCUCCGGUGGCUUCCAUAGCACCGGAGGUGAAUCUCUGUGUCUUAUUUUCGAUUUAGCAUAUCCGUGUCUUGCUCUUUUCUGCGUUUAAGAUCUUUCUUGGUCCGGGGUGGGUGAGUUCUUGUGCUUGGAGGCGAGUGGAGGCGUGUUUGAGAGUUUAUCCUUCGUGUGGUGGUGUUGAUUCGUCCGUGCUCUGGUCAGUAUUCGAUCGUCAUAGAUCUGGUUGGUUUGCUGGCUACUGGAUCUGCGUUUUCUUCCCCUCAGUGUCUGGUUACUUUUUGUGUUAGACUCUCUGUUCUCCAUUUUAGUCAAGAUUCUCUGUUUUGCCUUGCCUUUCUCAUCCAACGGAGAGGUUGAUUUCUCUGAAUCCUUAAUUGUCUCUUUGAUUUCUCUGGUCUCUUCUCAUCAUCAGUGCGACUGUGGUGUUUUGACGAGUGCGUGAGCAUACCAGGUUUAGCAUCUUUACUGUGAAGAAGUUGGUUGGUGUUACCUCUCCUUGUGAAGGAGUCAUCGCUACAUUUGAUUAAUAUAGUGUUAGUCGUUCCCGGUUUGUUUGAUUGACCUCAUAAUCCCUCUGUGGCUUCUUAUUGGAUGUUUGAAGCAGUAUAAUGAGGUUGGGGUUUGAUCCAUUCGGAUGAAGUUGUAGCUGUUGAGGGGUUUGUCCCAGGUGUUUUAGGUUCUUGACUCCGGGAGUCGAGGUUGGUGUGUGUGGUUGAUGCUAUUCGGCGUGGUUUUGUCUCUUCAUCGUGAAUAGGAAGUUCAGGUGAGUUUCGGCUCCGCUUUGGUCUAUCGCCUACUUGUUCGCUUGGCUAUCUUUGGUCUUUCAUUAGACCUAUGGUUAUGAAGGCCUCGACUAUUUUAUCUCUGAGCUUUGAAGGAUUGUAAGAAAGUCUUUAGUCGUAGAAAUUUGUGUUAGUCUCGUAAGUUAUGUUUAAGAUGCCUAUGUGUGGGCUUUAGUUUCCCUCCUAUGGGACAUGUUUCCGGGGAUUUCAUUGUGUUCCGCCGGCUUAUGUAUUACAAACUUGGAUUUUAAUAUAAAUCGAUUGACGG